Helianthus annuus (common sunflower) is the source of this 220-nucleotide long non-coding RNA. RefSeq lists it as uncharacterized. The record is from RefSeq and is a predicted model, not a curated record. The transcript is spliced from 4 exons. Lineage: Eukaryota; Viridiplantae; Streptophyta; Magnoliopsida; Asterales; Asteraceae.
CCCUAGCGCCGCUACGCAUCAUCUUCCGCAAAUCCAAAAAUCUUCUUCAGCAAAUCGACAAUGAUUUCGAUCCAUGGAUUCAAGCAGCAAACAUCAAACAUCCAUUUUACAUCUUCAAGAUCUAGGGUUUCGUGUUCAAGUUGCUAUAUCUGAUACCUGUAUGGUCUCAGUUAAUAACGAUGGUUCAAGGAAGGAUGAAGGUGUUAAUGUUUUCAAUUCU